This is a non-coding RNA of Pelobates cultripes (western spadefoot toad), 299 nucleotides long. NCBI's taxonomy places the organism in Eukaryota, Metazoa, Chordata, Amphibia, Anura, Pelobatidae. The record is from the annotation of a GenBank genome assembly.
AAGGCUUCUAAGCAUUUAAACGCAUUCUUUUUCUGGUCCUGACCCGACUUUAAGUCCUGAUUUUAAGUUAUACUUUUUGGUUUCCUUCACCUCGUCACCGUUUAGUAUUUUUGUGUUUCCUGACCUGACCUGUCCUGACUUCAAGCUUAGCUUUACUAUGGCCUGUAUGUAGUUGUUAGUCUAAGCGCUGAUAUCUUUUAUCUAUUUCUUUCUAAGUGUUAAGCCCAGCCACUCUAAGGUCCGAUAAUAUGCCAUUCUAUCAAUUAUUUGGUCAGGUGGGUUGCUGACUUAUAUCUUGC